Molecule: ribosomal RNA, 663 nt
Filed under: uncultured euryarchaeote
Lineage: Archaea; Methanobacteriati; Methanobacteriota
Description: bacterial SSU rRNA
Rfam family: Archaeal small subunit ribosomal RNA
Source: RNAcentral
CCUGCCAUUAGGCAGCGUUUUGUGGAAUGUAAAAAGUUCUACGAAUAAGGACUGGGUAAGACUAGUGCCAGCCGCCGCGGUAAUACUAGGGGUCCAAGUCGCAGCCAUUCUUAUUGGGUCUAAAACAUCCGUAGCUUGCUUGAUAAGUUUUCUGUGAAAUCUCAUAUCUCAAGUAUAAGAAUUGUGGAAAAUACUGUCAAGGUAGAGACCGGGAGACGUAAAGAGUACGUCUAAAGUAGCGGUAAAAUGUGUUGAUCUUAGGCGGACUGACGAUAGCGAAGGCACUUUACGAGAACGGUUCUGACAGUAAGGGAUGAAGGCUAGGGGCGCAAAACGGAUUAGAUACCCGUGUAGUCCUAGCAGUAAACACUGCACACUAAACCUUGUGAUCUCUUCGAGAGAUUGCAGGGCUGCAGGGAAGCCGAAGAGUGUGCUACCUGGGAAGUAUAGUCGCAAGGCUGAAACUUAAAGGAAUUGGCGGGGAGACACUACAACGGGUGACGCGUGCGGUUCAAUUAGAUUAUACACCGUGAACCUCACCAGGAGCGACAGCAGAAUGAAGGUCAGUCUAAAGGGCUUACCUGACACGCUGAGAGGGGUUGCAUGGCCGACGUCAGCCUGUGCUGUGAGGCGAUCUGUUAAAUCAGAUAACAGGCAAGACCC